UUUGAAGUUCUCUAUGGACGACGGUGUCGAACACCCCUUAACUGGUCAGAGACCGGGGAAAGACAAUUCUUUGGCCCGGACAUGAUUCAGGAAGCAGAAGAACAAGUUCGCAUCGUUCGUGAAAAGUUGAAAACAGCCCAAUCUCGUCAAAAGAGUCAAUAUGACCGAAAACAUAAGGCUAUGACUUUCGAGGUUGACGAGAAGGCUUAUCUUCGGGUCACCCCUCUGAAGGGAACCCAUCGUUUCGGUAUCAAAGGCAAAUUGGCUCCUCGUUACAUUGGACCUUUCCGCAUUCUCGCCAAACGAGGAGAAGUUGCCUACCAGUUGGAACUACCUCCGCAUCUCUCCAAAGUCCACGAUGUCUUCCAC
This 369-nucleotide ribosomal RNA is filed under the name Triticum aestivum (bread wheat). RNAcentral's name for it is "partial small subunit ribosomal RNA". The record is from RNAcentral. Lineage: Eukaryota; Viridiplantae; Streptophyta; Magnoliopsida; Poales; Poaceae.